AUUGAACGCUGGCGGCAGGCCUAACACAUGCAAGUCGAGCGGAUGAAGGGAGCUUUCUCCUGGAUUCAGCGUCGGACGGGUGAGUAAUGCCUAGGAAUCUGCCUGGUAGUGGGGGAUAACGUCCGGAAACGGGCGCUAAUACCGCAUACGUCCUGAGGGUGAAAGUGGGGGAUCUUCGGACCUCACGCUAUCAGAUGAGCCUAGGUCGGAUUAGCUAGUUGGUGGGGUAAAGGCCUACCAAGGCGACGAUCCGUAACUGGUCUGAGAGGAUGAUCAGUCACACUGGAACUGAGACACGGUCCAGACUCCUACGGGAGGCAGCAGUGGGGAAUAUUGGACAAUGGGCGAAAGCCUGAUACAGCCAUGCCGCGUGUGUGAAGAAGGUCUUCGGAUUGUAAAGCACUUUAAGUUGGGAGGAAGGGCAGUAAGUUAAUACCUUGCUGUUUUGACGUUACCAACAGAAUAAGCACCGGCUAACUUCGUG
This 484-nucleotide ribosomal RNA is filed under the name uncultured bacterium. Its description in RNAcentral is "partial 16S ribosomal RNA". It matches the Rfam family "Bacterial small subunit ribosomal RNA", at positions 30 to 507 of the family's 1533-position model. The record is from RNAcentral.